AGUGAACGCUGGCGGUAGGCCUAACACAUGCAAGUCGAACGGCAGCACAGUAAGAGCUUGCUCUUACGGGUGGCGAGUGGCGGACGGGUGAGGAAUACAUCGGAAUCUACUUUUUCGUGGGGGAUAACGUAGGGAAACUUACGCUAAUACCGCAUACGACCUACGGGCGAAAGCAGGGGAUCUUCGGACCUUGCGCGAUUGAAUGAGCCGAUGUCGGAUUAGCUAGUUGGCGGGGUAAAGGCCCACCAAGGCGACGAUCCGUAGCUGGUCUGAGAGGAUGAUCAGCCACACUGGAACUGAGACACGGUCCAGACUCCUACGGGAGGCAGCAGUGGGGAAUAUUGGACAAUGGGCGCAAGCCUGAUCCAGUCAUACCGCGUGGGUGAAGAAGGCCUUCGGGUUGUAAAGCCCUUUUGUUGGGAAAGAAAAGCAGCAGGUUAAUACCCCGCUGUUCUGACGGUACCCAAAGAAUAAGCACCGGCUAACUUCGUG
Molecule: ribosomal RNA, 492 nt
Filed under: uncultured bacterium
Lineage: Bacteria
Description: partial 16S ribosomal RNA
Rfam family: Bacterial small subunit ribosomal RNA
Source: RNAcentral